Molecule: transfer RNA, 72 nt
Filed under: Candidatus Woesearchaeota archaeon
Lineage: Archaea; Nanobdellati; Candidatus Woesearchaeota
Description: tRNA-Cys
Rfam family: tRNA
About the family: Transfer RNA (tRNA) molecules are approximately 80 nucleotides in length. Their secondary structure includes four short double-helical elements and three loops (D, anti-codon, and T loops).
Source: RNAcentral
GCGGGUAUAGCCAAGCGGUAAGGCAGCCGCCUGCAGAGCGGCCAUGCGGGGGUUCAAAUCCCUCUACCCGCU